GACGAACGCUGGCGGCGUGCUUAACACAUGCAAGUCGAACGGAAAGGCCCUGCUUUUGUUGGGUGCUCGAGUGGCGAACGGGUGAGUAACACGUGAGUAACCUGCCCUUGACUUUGUGAUAACUUCAGGAAACUGGGGCUAAUACCGGAUAGGAGCUCCUGCUGCAUGGUGGGGGUUGGAAAGUUUCGGCGGUUGGGGAUGGACUCGCGGCUUAUCAGCUUGUUGGUGGGGUAGUGGCUUACCAAGGCUUUGACGGGUAGCCGGCCUGAGAGGGUGACCGGCCACAUUGGGACUGAGAUACGGCCCAGACUCCUACGGGAGGCAGCAGUGGGGAAUAUUGCACAAUGGGCGGAAGCCUGAUGCAGCAACGCCGCGUGCGGGAUGACGGCCUUCGGGUUGUAAACCGCUUUCGCCUGUGACGAAGCGUGAGUGACGGUAAUGGGUAAAGAAGCACCGGCUAACUACGUG
This 468-nucleotide ribosomal RNA is filed under the name uncultured bacterium. RNAcentral describes it as "partial 16S ribosomal RNA". It matches the Rfam family "Bacterial small subunit ribosomal RNA", at positions 28 to 507 of the family's 1533-position model. The record is from RNAcentral.